UACAGAGGGUGCAAGCGUUGUUCGGAAUUAUUGGGCGUAAAGGGUGCGUAGGCGGUGCGGUAAGUCUGUAGUGAGAUCUCUGGGCUCAACUCAGAGUCUGCUAUAGAAACUGCCGUGCUUGAGUGUGGGAGAGGUGAGUGGAAUUCCCGGUGUAGCGGUGAAAUGCGCAGAUAUCAGGAGGAACACCAAUGGCGAAGGCAGCUCGCUGGGACGGUACUGACGCUGAGACGCGAAAGCGUGGGGAGCAAACAGG
RNAcentral lists this ribosomal RNA (253 nucleotides) under uncultured prokaryote. Its description in RNAcentral is "partial 16S ribosomal RNA". It matches the Rfam family "Bacterial small subunit ribosomal RNA", at positions 524 to 776 of the family's 1533-position model. The record is from RNAcentral.